Molecule: transfer RNA, 86 nt
Filed under: Nanobdellota archaeon
Lineage: Archaea; Nanobdellati; Nanobdellota
Description: tRNA-Leu
Rfam family: tRNA
About the family: Transfer RNA (tRNA) molecules are approximately 80 nucleotides in length. Their secondary structure includes four short double-helical elements and three loops (D, anti-codon, and T loops).
Source: RNAcentral
GCGGAGGUAGCAAAGUCUGGCCAAAUGCGCAGGACUUAAGAUCCUGUCUCUUAGUGGGUUCGGGAGUUCGAAUCUCCUCCUCCGCA